RNAcentral lists this transfer RNA (66 nucleotides) under Physa fontinalis. RNAcentral describes it as "tRNA-Ala". The record is from RNAcentral. Lineage: Eukaryota; Metazoa; Mollusca; Gastropoda; Physidae.
GGAAUUAUACUUUAAAGUAUAGAAGAGUUGGUUUGCAGCUAACAUGUGAAAUUAUUUCUAUUUCCA